RNAcentral lists this ribosomal RNA (497 nucleotides) under uncultured bacterium. RNAcentral describes it as "partial 16S ribosomal RNA". It matches the Rfam family "Bacterial small subunit ribosomal RNA", at positions 28 to 507 of the family's 1533-position model. The record is from RNAcentral.
GAUGAACGCUGGCGGCGUGCCUAAUACAUGCAAGUCGAGCGAACAGAUAAGGUGCUUGCUCCUUUGACGUUAGCGGCGGACGGGUGAGUAACACGUGGAUAACCUACCUAUAAGACUGGGAUAACUUCGGGAAACCGGAGCUAAUACCGGAUAAGAUUUUGAACCGCAUGGUUCAAUAGUGAAAGACGGCCUUGCUGUCACUUAUAGAUGGAUCCGCGCCGUAUUAGCUAGUUGGUAAGGUAACGGCUUACCAAGGCAACGAUACGUAGCCGACCUGAGAGGGUGAUCGGUCACACUGGAACUGAGACACGGUCCAGACUCCUACGGGAGGCAGCAGUAGGGAAUCUUCCGCAAUGGGCGAAAGCCUGACGGAGCAACGCCGCGUGAGUGAUGAAGGUCUUCGGAUCGUAAAACUCUGUUAUCAGGGAAGAACAAACGUGUAAGUAACUGUGCACGUCUUGACGGUACCUGAUCAGAAAGCCACGGCUAACUACGUG